RNAcentral lists this ribosomal RNA (420 nucleotides) under uncultured bacterium. RNAcentral's name for it is "bacterial SSU rRNA". It matches the Rfam family "Bacterial small subunit ribosomal RNA", at positions 358 to 774 of the family's 1533-position model. The record is from RNAcentral.
GGAAUAUUGGUCAAUGGGCGGAAGCCUGAACCAGCCAUGCCGCGUGCGGGAAGACGGCCCUACGGGUUGUAAACCGCUUUUGUGUGGGAGCAAUAAGGGUGUCGGGCACACCUGAUGAGAGUACCAUACGAAUAAGCAUCGGCUAACUCCGUGCCAGCAGCCGCGGUAAUACGGAGGAUGCGAGCGUUAUCCGGAUUCAUUGGGUUUAAAGGGUGCGUAGGCUGUGCGAUAAGUCAGGGGUGAAAUACCGUCGCUCAACGUCGGGGCUGCCCUUGAUACUGUCGCGCUGGAGUGCGGGUGCAGCCGGAGGAAUGAGUGGUGUAGCGGUGAAAUGCAUAGAUAUCACUCAGAACACCGAUUGCGAAGGCAUCUGGCGAAUCCGCCACUGACGCUGAGGCACGAAAGCGUGGGGAUAGAACA